Molecule: ribosomal RNA, 468 nt
Filed under: uncultured bacterium
Lineage: Bacteria
Description: partial 16S ribosomal RNA
Rfam family: Bacterial small subunit ribosomal RNA
Source: RNAcentral
GACGAACGCUGGCGGCGUGCUUAACACAUGCAAGUCGAACGGAAAGGCCCUGCUUUUGUGGGGUGCUCGAGUGGCGAACGGGUGAGUAACACGUGAGUAACCUGCCCUUGACUUUGGGAUAACUUCAGGAAACUGGGGCUCAUACCGGAUAGGAGCUCCUGCUGCAUGGUGGGGGUUGGAAAGUUUCGGCGGUUGGGGAUGGUCUCGCGGCUUAUCAGCUUGUUGGUGGGGUAGUGGCUUACCAAGGCUUUGACGGGUAGCCGGCCUGAGAGGGUGACCGGCCACAUGGGGACUGAGAUACGGCCCAGACUGCUACGGGAGGCAGCAGGGGGGAAUAUUGCACAAUGGGCGGAAGCCUGAUGCAGCAACGCCGCGUGCGGGAUGACGGCCUUCGGGUUGUAAACCGCUUUCGCCUGUGACGAAGCGUGAGUGACGGUAAUGGGUAAAGAAGCACCGGCUAACUACGUG